CCUACGGGAGGCUGCAGUGAGGAAUAUUGGUCAAUGGGCGCGAGCCUGAACCAGCCAUGUCGCGUGAAGGAUGACUGCCCUACGGGUUGUAAACUUCUUUUAUACCGGAAUAAAGUGAGGCACGUGUGCCUUUUUGUAUGUACUUUACGAAUAAGGAUCGGCUAACUCCGUGCCAGCAGCCGCGGUAAUACGGAGGAUCCGAGCGUUAUCCGGAUUUAUUGGGUUUAAAGGGAGCGUAGGUGGGUUGUUAAGUCAGUUGUGAAAUGUUGCGGCUCAACCGUAAAAUUGCAAUUGAUACUGUCGGACUAGAGUACAGAUGAGGUAGGCGGAAUGCGUGGUGUAGCGGUGAAAUGCUUAGAUAUCACGAAGAACUCCGAUUGCGAAGGCAGCUUACUAGACUGCCACUGACAUUGAUGCACGAAAGUGUGGGGAUCAAACAGGAUUAGAUACCCCGGUAGUC
Molecule: ribosomal RNA, 460 nt
Filed under: uncultured bacterium
Lineage: Bacteria
Description: partial 16S ribosomal RNA
Rfam family: Bacterial small subunit ribosomal RNA
Source: RNAcentral